This 1522-nucleotide ribosomal RNA is filed under the name Shigella boydii. Its description in RNAcentral is "bacterial SSU rRNA". It matches the Rfam family "Bacterial small subunit ribosomal RNA". The record is from RNAcentral. Lineage: Bacteria; Pseudomonadati; Pseudomonadota; Gammaproteobacteria; Enterobacterales; Enterobacteriaceae.
AGAGUUUGAUCAUGGCUCAGAUUGAACGCUGGCGGCAGGCCUAACACAUGCAAGUCGAACGGUAACAGGAAGAAGCUUGCUUCUUUGCUGACGAGUGGCGGACGGGUGAGUAAUGUCUGGGAAACUGCCUGAUGGAGGGGGAUAACUACUGGAAACGGUAGCUAAUACCGCAUAACGUCGCAAGACCAAAGAGGGGGACCUUCGGGCCUCUUGCCAUCGGAUGUGCCCAGAUGGGAUUAGCUAGUAGGUGAGGUAACGGCUCACCUAGGCGACGAUCCCUAGCUGGUCUGAGAGGAUGACCAGCCACACUGGAACUGAGACACGGUCCAGACUCCUACGGGAGGCAGCAGUGGGGAAUAUUGCACAAUGGGCGCAAGCCUGAUGCAGCCAUGCCGCGUGUAUGAAGAAGGCCUUCGGGUUGUAAAGUACUUUCAGCGGGGAGGAAGGGAGUAAAGUUAAUACCUUUGCUCAUUGACGUUACCCGCAGAAGAAGCACCGGCUAACUCCGUGCCAGCAGCCGCGGUAAUACGGAGGGUGCAAGCGUUAAUCGGAAUUACUGGGCGUAAAGCGCACGCAGGCGGUUUGUUAAGUCAGAUGUGAAAUCCCCGGGCUCAACCUGGGAACUGCAUCUGAUACUGGCAAGCUUGAGUCUCGUAGAGGGGGGUAGAAUUCCAGGUGUAGCGGUGAAAUGCGUAGAGAUCUGGAGGAAUACCGGUGGCGAAGGCGGCCCCCUGGACGAAGACUGACGCUCAGGUGCGAAAGCGUGGGGAGCAAACAGGAUUAGAUACCCUGGUAGUCCACGCCGUAAACGAUGUCGACUUGGAGGUUGUGCCCUUGAGGCGUGGCUUCCGGAGCUAACGCGUUAAGUCGACCGCCUGGGGAGUACGGCCGCAAGGUUAAAACUCAAAUGAAUUGACGGGGGCCCGCACAAGCGGUGGAGCAUGUGGUUUAAUUCGAUGCAACGCGAAGAACCUUACCUGGUCUUGACAUCCACGGAAGUUUUCAGAGAUGAGAAUGUGCCUUCGGGAACCGUGAGACAGGUGCUGCAUGGCUGUCGUCAGCUCGUGUUGUGAAAUGUUGGGUUAAGUCCCGCAACGAGCGCAACCCUUAUCCUUUGUUGCCAGCGGUCCGGCCGGGAACUCAAAGGAGACUGCCAGUGAUAAACUGGAGGAAGGUGGGGAUGACGUCAAGUCAUCAUGGCCCUUACGACCAGGGCUACACACGUGCUACAAUGGCGCAUACAAAGAGAAGCGACCUCGCGAGAGCAAGCGGACCUCAUAAAGUGCGUCGUAGUCCGGAUUGGAGUCUGCAACUCGACUCCAUGAAGUCGGAAUCGCUAGUAAUCGUGGAUCAGAAUGCCACGGUGAAUACGUUCCCGGGCCUUGUACACACCGCCCGUCACACCAUGGGAGUGGGUUGCAAAAGAAGUAGGUAGCUUAACCUUCGGGAGGGCGCUUACCACUUUGUGAUUCAUGACUGGGGUGAAGUCGUAACAAGGUAACCGUAGGGGAACCUGCGGUUG